This 173-nucleotide ribosomal RNA is filed under the name Agalychnis saltator (misfit leaf frog). Its description in RNAcentral is "partial 16S ribosomal RNA". The record is from RNAcentral. Lineage: Eukaryota; Metazoa; Chordata; Amphibia; Anura; Hylidae.
ACGUGAUCUGAGUUCAGACCGGAGUAAUCCAGGUCAGUUUCUAUCUAUAAAGAGGCUUCUUCAGUACGAAAGGACCAAGAAGACACGGUCUAUGCCUUAACAAACCGUAUUUAUAAAAUUAUGCGUAAAACUUAAUAACCUAAUAAACUUACAUUCAACUCAAGAUCAGAGUA